GAUGAACGCUGGCGGUAUGCUUAACACAUGCAAGUCGAACGGUCUCUACGGAGAUAGUGGCGGACGGGUGAGUAACGCGUGAGAAUCUGGCUCUAGGUCUGGGACAACCACUGGAAACGGUGGCUAAUACCGGGUGUGCCGAAAGGUGAAAGGUUAACUGCCUGGAGAUGAGCUCGCGUCUGAUUAGCUAGUUGGUAGGGUAAGAGCUUACCAAGGCGACGAUCAGUAGCUGGUCUGAGAGGACGAUCAGCCACACUGGGACUGAGACAC
Molecule: ribosomal RNA, 270 nt
Filed under: Rhizonema sp. 'cyanobiont of Dictyonema gomezianum'
Lineage: Bacteria; Bacillati; Cyanobacteriota; Cyanophyceae; Nostocales; Rhizonemataceae
Also listed under: 1 other name
Description: partial 16S ribosomal RNA
Rfam family: Bacterial small subunit ribosomal RNA
Source: RNAcentral